GGAGAUAUAGCUCAGUUGGUAGAGUGCUUGCCUCACAUGCAUUAGGCCCUGGGUUCAAUCCCCAACACCA
RNAcentral lists this transfer RNA (70 nucleotides) under Ictidomys tridecemlineatus (thirteen-lined ground squirrel). RNAcentral describes it as "Spermophilus tridecemlineatus (thirteen-lined ground squirrel) tRNA". It matches the Rfam family "tRNA". Rfam says of the family: Transfer RNA (tRNA) molecules are approximately 80 nucleotides in length. Their secondary structure includes four short double-helical elements and three loops (D, anti-codon, and T loops). The record is from Rfam by way of RNAcentral. Lineage: Eukaryota; Metazoa; Chordata; Mammalia; Rodentia; Sciuridae.